AGCAUAUCAGUAUGCGGAGGAGAAGAGACCACCACNGAUUGCCUCAGUAACGGCGAGUGAAGCGGCACCAGCUCAGAUUUGAAAUCCGGCCCGCCUCGUGGGGGCCCGAGUUGUAAUCUGCAGAGGGCGCCUCGGGUGCAGCCUCCCGCCGAGUUCCCUGGAACGGGACGCCGCAGAGGGUGACAGCCCCGUGCGGCGGGUGGGCGAGCCCGCAAAGAGGCCCCUUCAGUGAGUCGCGUAGCUUGGGAAUGCUGCGCAAAUCGGGAGGUAUACCCCUCCCAAGGCUAAAUACAGGCUGGAGACCGAUAGCGCACAAGUAGAGUGAUCGAAAGAUGAAAAGCACCUUGAAAAGGGGGUGACACAGUACGUGAAAUUGUUGAAAGGGAAGCGUCCGUCGUGAGACUCGCGCGCGGCCGAUCAGCAGGCGCCCCCCCCGGGGCACUGCGCACUCGACCGCGCGCGGGCCAGCACCGGCUCGACGCCGGGGCUGAAAGGCGCUGGGAACGUGGGUCCCCCUCCCGGGGAGCGUUAUAGCCCAGCGCGUCAUGCCCUGGCUCGGGCCGAGGCUCGCGCCCCGCAAGGGUGCUGGCGUAAUCGCGACUGGCGGCCCGUCUUGAAACACGGACCAAGGAGUCAUCCUAGCAUGCGAGUGUUUGGGUGCAAAAGCCCCUGCGCGGAGUGAAAGCAAACGCUGGUGGGAGCCCUCGCGGCGCACCACCGACCGAUCUUGAUGUCCUCGGAUGGAUUUGAGUAUGAGCAUGCUGGGCUGGACCCGAAAGAGGGUGAACUAUGCGUGUUUAGGCUGAAGCCAGCGGAAACGCUGGUGGAGGGCCGCAGCGGUUCUGACGUGCAAAUCGAUCGUCAAAGAUGCGCAUAGGGGCGAAAGACUACUCGANCCUUCUAAUAUCUGGCCC
RNAcentral lists this ribosomal RNA (914 nucleotides) under Fracchiaea myricoides. Its description in RNAcentral is "partial large subunit ribosomal RNA". It matches the Rfam family "Eukaryotic large subunit ribosomal RNA", at positions 37 to 957 of the family's 3401-position model. Lineage: Eukaryota; Fungi; Ascomycota; Sordariomycetes; Coronophorales; Nitschkiaceae. The record is from RNAcentral.